RNAcentral lists this transfer RNA (66 nucleotides) under Parasacculina shiinoi. RNAcentral's name for it is "tRNA-Lys". Lineage: Eukaryota; Metazoa; Arthropoda; Thecostraca; Polyascidae. The record is from RNAcentral.
UAGAUAAUAGCAUAUUUAAUGUGUUUUACUUUUAAUAGAAUGAUAGAUUUAUAAAUUUUUAUCUAG